CCUACGGGUGGCAGCAGUGAGGGAUAUUGGUCAAUGGCCGUAAGGCUGAACCAGCCAAGUCGCGUGAAUGAAGAAGGACCUAUGGUUUGUAAACUUCUUUUAUAGGGGAAUAAAGGUAUCCACGUGUGGAUAUUUGCAUGUACCCUAUGAAUAAGCAUCGGCUAACUCCGUGCCAGCAGCCGCGGUAAUACGGAGGAUGCGAGCGUUAUCCGGAUUUAUUGGGUUUAAAGGGUGCGUAGGUUGUGUUUUAAGUCAGCGGUGAAAGUUCGUGGCUCAACCAUAGAAUUGCCGUUGAAACUGGAAGACUUGAGUGUGGGUGAGGCAGGCGGAAUGCGUGGUGUAGCGGUGAAAUGCAUAGAUAUCACGCAGAACACCGAUUGCGAAGGCAGCCUACUAAGCCACAACUGACGCUGAAGCACGAAAGCGUGGGGAUCAAACAGGAUUAGAUACCCGGGUAGUC
RNAcentral lists this ribosomal RNA (460 nucleotides) under uncultured bacterium. RNAcentral describes it as "partial 16S ribosomal RNA". It matches the Rfam family "Bacterial small subunit ribosomal RNA", at positions 338 to 795 of the family's 1533-position model. The record is from RNAcentral.